AAUGCGAUAAGUAAUGUGCAUUGCAGAAUUCAGUGAAUCAUCGAAUCUUUGAACGCACCUUGCGCUCCUUGGUAUUCCUUGGAGCAUGCCUGUUUGAGUAUCAUGAAAUCUUCAAAGUAAAUCUUUUGUUAACUCAAUUGGUUUCUACUUUGGUAUUGGAGGUCUUUGCAGCUUCACACCUGCUCCUCUUUGUUCAUUAGCUGGAUCUCAGUGUUAUGCUUGGUUCCACUCGGCGUGAUAAGUUAUCUAUCGCUGAGGACACUGUAAAAGGUGGCCAAGGUAAAUGCAGAUGAACCGCUUCUAAUAGUCCAUUGACUUGGACAAUACUUUUAUGAUCUGAUCUCAAAUCAGGUAGGACUACCCGCUGAACUUAAGC
Molecule: unclassified non-coding RNA, 376 nt
Filed under: plant metagenome
Description: partial contains 5.8S ribosomal RNA, internal transcribed spacer 2, and large subunit ribosomal RNA
Rfam family: 5.8S ribosomal RNA (bases 1-103)
Source: RNAcentral